This is a non-coding RNA of Elaeis guineensis (African oil palm), 2387 nucleotides long. Lineage: Eukaryota; Viridiplantae; Streptophyta; Magnoliopsida; Arecales; Arecaceae. The record is from RefSeq and is a predicted model, not a curated record.
UCCACUGCGGGCCGCGGUCUAUCGCAUCGGAAUGGAGUUCGUGGAAGAUGAGGCACGGCCGCGUUUCCUCUUCCGAGGUGGCGGCGCGGCCCCCUCUGCCGCCGGUGACCCGGACGCCGGAACUCUAAAGGUCCACAAGCUGCACGCGGCCGCCUGCCUCUCCGCCGCCUCCCUCCUCGUCUUCGCCGCCGUCUCCCUCUCGCACUGGCAAACCCUCUCCUCCUUCCUCGCCUGGGCCUCUCUCUCCCUCCUCCUCGCCCCCUUUGCUCCGCCCUCCGCCACCGGUGGCGACCCUCGCGUCGGCCGCGGCCCCGUCCUCCCCGACCCCCCCGCCACCCCCAUCGCCCCUUCUGAACCCGACGAGCCUCGGAAGCGGAACCUCGGCCGCCGCCCCAGAUCUCAGCCUCUACCGUCGCCGUCCGGUCCUCCUUCGUCUUCGGUCGUUUCCAGUCCUCCAAUCUCCCAGAAGCCAGAGGAGAGAAGUGGCGAUACGAACUCUAAUGGCAGCGGAUCGGCCAAGGAAGUGGAGGCAGAAAAGGAGUGGACUGAUGAGGAUUUCGAGCUUCUAAAGAGGCAGAUCUCAAAGCAUCCGGUCGGCGAGCCAAGGCGGUGGGAGAGGAUCGCUGAAGCCUUCCGAGGGCGGCAUGGAUUGGAUAGUAUCAUCAAGACUGCCAAAUCCCUGUCGGAGAGGAAGCCUGCAGCUGGGGAUUCUUUCCAGCAAUUUUUGAAGCAGAGGAAGCCAUUGGACAAGCGAGUGGACGCCAAUGUUGGGGACUCAAAAGAUGAAAUUUUGGCAGAGAAUGGUGAAUUAGGGAAGGAGGGUGGGGGAGGGAGUGGGAGCUGGAGUGCUGGAGAGGAUCUUGCACUGCUUAAUGCACUCAAGGCAUUCCCCAAGGAUGUGUCAAUGAGGUGGGAGAAGAUAGCAGCGGCGGUGCCAGGGAAGUCGAAGGCUUGCUGUAUGAAGAGAGUUGCAGAGUUGAAGAGGGACUUUCGGAGCUCGAAAGCUUCUGAAACAUAGAGAAUUGCUUUGAUUUGGUCUGGUAUGGAGGCGUCAAUGAGAAGAAAGCAAAAGUAAGAAGAAGACAGUGUUGCCUCCACAUUUUGGGCUUCCUUCACUGUCCCAGUCACAAGAGUUGAAUAGGAAAAAUCCUUAAAGGGAAACAACAAUUCAUGCUCUUCACCUUCAGGCUUUCUAUUCAAUUUAUGUACAAGAAAUUCAAACCAUAUCAUUAGCAGUAUGUUGUUUCCAUAUUGCAUCAGUUGAUCCUGUGGGUUAAUAAUCUGUGACAGAGGGACAACUCUCAGGUCGAAUUGAAAUUAAGCCCCUCAUAUUUGCCCUCCACGACUCAAGGAUAAGGUGGUCUAAUCUACUUCUGGUAUAUGGUAUUUCAUGGCAACAGAUUAAAAGUUCAUGACACAUCCUAAAGCACCUUCAAUUGACUUAGUUUGGCAUCCUAUCGGCCACACUAUACAUGCUACAGCUUGUACAUGAAACUCUGAUUCAGGGUACAAAUUAUAGGCUAUAGAGUAGACCACAAGGGUUUUGUUUCUUCCUGUGCAAGCAAUCUAGUUGGCAUGGAAGGAAGAAGAGGAUAUUUUCAGUUAGUCCAUGGUUUACUUGCAAGAAUAUGGUUGAAACUUGGGCUACGGAGUUUAGUCUUAGGUUAGGCAUAAAAUUUGAUCAGUGUGUUUUGCAAAUUUAUUCAUGUUAUUAAUAAUAAAAUGGUAAAGUGUAUUUUUUUUUCUUGAAAACUUCCUACCGGUAGUUAAAAUCCUCUCUGAAUGAGUAUAAAUUAAAUUAUUUUUUGGAAAAUGUUUAAAACUGAUGAUUAUGACCCAAGCUCAAAAAGAUCUGAACCCAGUGCAAACACAAUGCAUACAAGACUUAGAGAGGUGCGGGAUCUUUUUCUUUUAACGAAUCACCCUCAGUCAUGGCUGGGGGUUUUACAGAAUGAAUUUGGGCUCUAUCUAAAAAAUUUAACAAAGCCACAAUGUUUAUAAAUUUGGGUAGAGGUCAAGCCUGACCAGAUCUGAGCCCAAAUUCUAGGCUAAUGUUAAUAACUUCAACCUAAAAGCACAAAGUUGGACCAUCAGCUAUUUUUGUCAGUUUAUGUAAAUGAUUGCAAGAAAUGAUAUAUAAAUUCUACAAGGAAUUAAUAGGAAAAUAAAGAGAAGAAUAUUAUAAUGCAGAAAUAGUGCUAUUUCAAACAAGUUCCCUUAUUGUUUCCCCCGUUUUAAUCAUGUUUCCUGGGUGUUAUGUAUCCUGACAUGAAACUAUUCAAAUCCUAGUGCAAGAUCUCCAAAAACAAAUUUUAUGGUAACACACGGUUGGCUCUGGGUCCAAAUCCUCAACUUAAUCCAGUCCAACCAUCUGAGGUACAAAAGAG